Molecule: ribosomal RNA, 253 nt
Filed under: uncultured bacterium
Lineage: Bacteria
Description: partial 16S ribosomal RNA
Rfam family: Bacterial small subunit ribosomal RNA
Source: RNAcentral
UACGUAGGGUGCGAGCGUUAAUCGGAAUUACUGGGCGUAAAGCGUGCGUAGGCGGUUCGCUGUGUCCGAUGUGAAAGCCCCGGGCUUAACCUGGGAAUGGCAUUGGAAACUGGCGGGCUUGAGUGCGGCAGAGGGGGGUGGAAUUCCGCGUGUAGCAGUGAAAUGCGUAGAGAUGCGGAGGAACACCGAUGGCGAAGGCAGCCCCCUGGGUCGACACUGACGCUCAGGCACGAAAGCAUGGGUAGCGAAAGGG